UGCUUAUUUGGGGUCUUCUUUCUUUUCUUCUUUAUUAGUCUAGCUAGUGGUCUCUCUUAUCAAUUUUUUUCAAAAAACCAGCUCCUGGAUUUGUUGAUCUUUCUAAUUUUGUUUUUCAGUUGUGGCAGGCAGUGGUUGAGACAGAGUCUCUGUCACCCAGGAUGGAGUACAGUGAUACAAUCUCAGAUCACUGGAAUCUCUGCCUCCCAGAUUCAAGUGAUUCUCAUGCCUCAGCCUCCUGAGAAGCUGGGAUUACAGACAUGCACCACCAUGCCUGGCUAAUUUUUGUAUUUUUAAUAGAGACAGGGUUUCACCAUGUUGCCCAGGCUGGUCUUGUACUCCUGACCUCAAGUGAUCCACCCACCUUGGCCUCCUAAACUUCUGGGAUUACAGGCGUGAAUGGUUUUUUGUGUCUCAAUCUCCUUAAGUUCAGCUCUGAGUUCAGUUAUUUCUUGUCAUUUGCUUGCUUUGGUUUGCUCUUGCUUCUCUCGUUCUUUUUGUUAUGAUGUUAGGUCAUUAAUUUGCAAUCUUUCUAAUUUUUUGAUGUGUGCAUUUAGUGCUAUAAAUUUCCCUCUUAACACUGUCUGAGCUGUGUCCCAGAGAUUCUGGUAUGUUGUAUCUUUAUUCUCCUUAGUUUCAAAGAACUUCUUGAUUUCUGCCUUAAUUUCAUUAUUUACCCAAAAAUCAUUCAGGACUGGGUUAUUCAAUUUCCAUGUAACUGUAUGGUUUUGAGCGAUUUUUUUCCUUUUUUUUUUGAAAUGGAGUUUCACUGUUUUUGCCCAGGCUGGAGUGCAAUGGCACAAUCUUGGCUCACCGCAACCUCCGCCUCCCGGGUUCAAGUGAUUCUCCUACCUCAGCCUCCUGAGUAGCUGGCAUUACAGGCAUUUGCCACCAUGCCCAGCUAAUUUUGUAUUUUUUAGUAGAGACAGGGUUUCUCCAUGUUGGCCAUGCUGGUCUUGAACUCCCGACCUCAGGUGAUCCACCCUCCUCGGCCUCCCAAAGUGUUGAGAUUACAGGAGUGAGCCACCGCGCCCGGCCUUGAGCUAUUUUCUUCAUCUUGAUUUCUAUUUGAAUUGCACUGUGGUCCAAGAGAGUGGUUGGUAUGAUUUCAGUUCUCUUGCAUUUGCUGAGGAUUGUUUUAUGUCUGAUUAUGUGGUUGAUUUUAGAGUAUGUGCCAUGUGGUUAUGAGAAGAAUGUAUAUUCUUUUGGUUUUGGGUGGAGGGUUCAGUAGAUGUCUAUCAGGUCCAUUUGGUCCAGCGUUGAGUUCAGUUCCUGAAUAUCUUUGUGAAUUUUCUGCUUCAGUGAUCUGUCCGAUACUGUCAGUGGGAUGUUGAAGUCUGUCACUGUUAUUAUGUGGGAAUCUAAGUCUCUUUGAAGGUCUUUAAGAACUUGCUUUAUGAAUGUAAGUGCUACUGUGUUGAGUGCAUAUAUAUUUAGGAUAGUUAGGUCUUCCUGUUGAAUUGAACACUUUACCACCAUGUAAUGCCCUUCUUUGCCGUUUUUUGAUCUUUGUUGGUUUAAAGUCUGUUUUCUCUGAAAUUAAGAUUGCAACCCCUGCUUCUUUCUGUUUUUUAUUUACUUGGUUGAUUUUUCUCCAUCUCUUUAUUUUGAAUCUGUGGGUGUCAUUGCAUGUGAGAUGGGUUUUUGAAGACAGCAUACCAAUGGGUCUUUCUUCUUUAUCCAGCUUGCCACUCUGUGCCUUUUAAUUGGGGCAUUUAGCUUGUUUGCAUUCAAGGUUAGUAUUGAUAUUUGUGGAUUUGAACUGUCAUUGUGUUGUUAGCUGUAUAUUAUGCCAACUUGUUUUAUAGCAUUACUGGUCUGUGUACUUCAGUGUAUUUUUGUAGUGGUUGGUAACAGUCUUUCUUUUCCAUAUUUAGUGCUUCCUUCAGGACCUCUUGCAAGGCUAAUCUGGUGGUAAUGAAUUCCCUAAGCAUUUGCUUGUCUGACAAUAAUCUUAUUCCUCCUUCACUUAUGAAGCUUAAUUUGGCUGGAUAUGAAAUUCUUAGUUGGAAUUUCUUUUCUUUAAUAAUGUUGAAUAUUGGCCCCCAAUCUCUUCUGGCUUGUAGGGUUUCUGCUGAGAGGUCCACUGUCAGCCUGAUGAGCCUCCGUUUUUAGGUGACCUGACCUUUCUCUCUAGCUGCCUUUAAUGUUUUUUUCUUUCAUUUUGAACUGGAGAAUCUGAUGAUUUGUGUCUUGGAGAUACUCUUUUGAAGCAUUUUGUGGGGGUUCUCUGCAUUUCCUGAAUUUGAAUGUUGGUCUCUUUAACUAGGUUGGGGAAGUUGUCAUCGAUAUCCUGAAAUAUGUUUUUUAAAUUAUUUCCAUUCUCCUCAUCUCUUUCAGGGAUGCCAGUGAGUUGUAGAUUCAGUCUCUACAUAAUCCCAAAUUUCUUGGAGGUUUUGUUUAUUCCUUUUCAUUCUUUUCUCUUUAUUCUUGUCUAACUGUCUUAUUUCAGAAAGCCAGUCUUCAAGCUCUGAGAUUCUUUCCUCAGCUUGGUCUAUUCUGUUAUUAAUAUCUGCAAUUGCAUUAUUAAAUUCUUCUAGUGUGUUUUUCAGCCCUAUCAGAUUGGUUACAUUCUUUUUUAUACUGGCUAUUUUGUCUGCCAGCUCCUGUAUCAUUUUAUUGUGAUUCCUAGCUUCCUCAGAUUGGGUUUCAAUGUUCUUCUGAAUCUCUAUAAUCUUCACUCCUAUCCAUACUCUGAAUUCUAUUUCUGUCAUUUCAGCCAUCUCAGCCCGCUUAAGAAUCCUUGCUGGAGAGGUAGUGUAGUCACUGGGAGAAAAGAAGACACUCUGGCUUUUUGAGUUGUCAGAGUUCUUGUGCUGGUUCUUUCUCAUCUUUGUGGGCCAAUCUUCCUUCAAUCUUUGAAGGUGCUGUCCUUUGGAUAUUUUUUUUCUUUUAUCCUACUUGAUGACAUUGGAGGCUUGAUUGUGAUAUAAGGUUAGGAACAUGCUGCACUGGAGGGGUCAAAGUGCUUCCAAACUGAAUGGCUAUUCGCAACAUCCAUGCCAAUGGAUGGUGACAAGCAAAGCACUUCAUAGGGUGAUGGCAUCAGGAUCUGUCCUUGUUCACAUGUGCCAGCAGCAGUGGCAGCAGAAAAGUGGUAAGAUGCAUGCUCAUCAGCUGUGGCUGGGUGCUAGUGGGUGCUGGGUUGCUGGCUUCCAUGAGGGUGUUCACAGCAGCUGCAGGGCAGCACGGCUGGGUGGGGAUGCCAUUAGCAACUGUGCACGUGUUCACAGUUGUGGUGGUGUUAGCAUAGGGGUGGGGUGCUGGUGGGCACAAGACUGUGUGCACCCUCUGUGAGCAUUCCCACAGGCAGCAGUGGCUGGGUCCACUGUUCUCCAUGACUCGUUUUGCACCAGUGGCAGUGUUGGCUCAGGGACAGGUGCUGGCAGGCAUGGGGCUGGUGGGCUCCAUGCCCACCAAAGUUCUGAUGACAGUGGUGGUGUGGCCAGAGGAUUGGGA
This 3459-nucleotide long non-coding RNA is filed under the name Homo sapiens (human). RNAcentral describes it as "HSALNT0086637". The record is from RNAcentral. Lineage: Eukaryota; Metazoa; Chordata; Mammalia; Primates; Hominidae.